Molecule: long non-coding RNA, 822 nt
Filed under: Canis lupus familiaris (dog)
Lineage: Eukaryota; Metazoa; Chordata; Mammalia; Carnivora; Canidae
Description: lncRNA (ENSCAFG00000054603.1)
Source: RNAcentral
CAGGGAUCCUUUAUGUGGAUAAAUUAAGAUUUAAAACAGGUGACCUAGAGAUGUUGCAUGUGAUUAGCUGAUACACUUUACCCUUGCUCCUACGAAAACAGCCGUGAGCUUCACAGGGACGACUCUUUCCUAGGGCAUUUGAUUCUGAAGUGGCCUGAAGGAGGUAGUGGAAGUGUGGGCUUGUGAGGCGAUUAUUUCAGUGGCUGAAUUAAACCAGACUCUUUUCAGAAGAAUUCAAAACGAACAUGGCUAAACAUGCAAAAUAAACACAGGAUCUUCAGACAUAACGACGUCUAGCUUUGAAGCAUGGUUUGAAGAUUUUCAUGAGGCCUUCCUUUCUACGUAUUCAAAUGCAAUACUACAACUCCAAGAUCAAUAGCAUAUUUGGCUAUCAAACCAGUCUUGCGAUAAACAGGAUUUCAGGGUCCAUCUGAAAUAGUCCUCCCCACUCUGCCUUUCAAAGUAUUACAUGCUGACCUUCAAAGUCACAUGAUUUCCAAAUGCGACCAAAUCAUGAUUUUGAAAAUAAAGCAAUAUGAUGCCUUCGCCGGGCUAUCAUGGAGAAAGGCAAGGAAAAUUGUCCCCGUAGAAGAGUAUGUAUCCCACCGUAUUGAGAAGUAGGCGUGAAAACACAAGCAUACAUGAGGACAUACAUGUCCUUGAGGACAUACAUGGUGCCUCCUUAGAUGCACAGGCCUGAGAUUAGGAGGAGAUCAGAAGAUAUUACUAAGGGAGAACGUGUGGUGGGAGGAGUACAACGCAGAAGGCACUCGUAACAACUAGCAUUAAGAUAAGGACCGCCAGGUGGUGGUAAGAGGGGAA